UUUAGCAUCUGCCCCCUGGUGGUCAAUGCACAUCAUAGCGACUGGUCAUUCUGGUUGUACUGCCAUAACUGCCAUAAAGUCACUUAGGCUUUUAUUAUAUAGAUAGGAAGGGAUCUAGAAGAGGGGGAGGUCAAACUUUGAUAAUGAAAAGAUCUCUCCUCCCCACUAGAGUGCUUUUUCUUUUUUUUCUUUUUCUUUUUUUUCCAAAUUUUUACUUCAGCCCCUAUUCCUGAGUUGGGAGAAGCAGCAACCACCUCUGCACAAACUUGCCAUUUAAGAUCAGCAUGGGCCUUCCCCCAACCUAUUUAUAAUGCACUGGGAGAACACAUCUUCACAUCUAGUUAGAUGCAUGUAUAAUAGGUUAUUUUAUAGUUUUUUUUUAUAACACUUUAGCCCUAGAGCAGGUUUUCCAGGUGUUUUUACCUGCAGCCACAAAAAGUAUCCAGUAAUUUUAUCCAGUUCUAUAAAUACACCUUAUUUUAUUACUUCUUAAUGCCUCCUUGCUUAAAACUCUAAUAGGUGGUAAACACUUGUCAACCACAUGUUGGACUUUGAAUAUCUCCUUUAAAUCUGAGAACUCCAGAGAACCAUUUCGGCCACAUAGUCAAAUAUAAUUUGUUUAUCAUGGAUUAUGUUAAUGGGUACAAUUUGUUAAAACUUCUAGGUGAGAAAAUUGCAGUUUUAAUUUGAGGCUUAAAAUGAAAUAGAUGAGCAUUAUGAAUGCGCAGCUUUUCCUAUUUCAUUUGGCAAAAGAAAUUGAUUCUUAAAGUGGCAUGCUAACCUUUUUGUCCGUUGUGUGUCAUGAAUGCUAUUUUUAUUUAGGACACAAAUUCUAUCACUGUUCUAGAGAGUAAAAAAAAACAAAAAAGAGAUCUGCUCUUUGAAAAAAGAGUUUCUUGAUAUGAGACAAGCAGAUUGACAUAAUUCCAAAAGCCUAUGGUUUUGAAGCUUGCAUUGCUUAUGUUUUGAUUGUGUGGACUCAGUUACCAUUUAAAGCUUUGUUUGAUUUUGGAGCAGCAGCUUUUUUUUUUAUGACCCUUAGCUAAUAAGCUUUAAUAAGCAGAAACAUUUCAAUUAUUCUGAUUAAAGAGCUGUAUUGAACAUGCUGACCAAAUGUAGAUUUUAUAUUUUUAAUUAGACACCAAGAAUUUGGUAAGAGCAUAAUUUUAUUUAGAUCAACCAUUGAGAAAGCUAAGUUCACCGGUUAGUUAAUGAACUACAGUGACAGGAUUUUCUUCAUUUAAAUUAUUAAGGUACGAUCUUAGAAAAGCAUAAUUCUUAAAUAUGAACUUAUAGAUAUACAGGCAAGUUUACUUUGAACUCAAUAACUUGCAAGGAUAUAAUAAUUUUGCCAGUUUAUUUGUUAAGUGUCAUUUUUACAGAAAUGUUUUUUAAAUGAUACUUUUUGAUGAAGUUCAUGUUUAACAAAACCAAGCAUAAAAGCUAAUACUUUUAGUAAUUUCCUUUUAUUAGAUUCAGGUAGAAAAGUGCCAAAGUGCUUUGGUUCCACAGUAGGUUGCAGUCUUGUCAUAGAGUUCUCAUUUGGUGUUUAGAACCUAAAACCCUGGCAUGCAGAUGUGAGUGGUCUGACAUGAUGUGUUGAUUUAGCUAUUUAGAUGACUUCAGAUGUAGCUGGAGCUCUCUUCUAUCUAGGGAACUAAACAGACGAGGCUUUGUGAAGCACUAAAUUAAUUUUGUAUCGACAUUCUGGGUGUUGGUGAUAAUUUGCUGUGACAUUCUGCCGAUUGGUUAUGAUCGUGACAGGCAGGCUCUAUCCAAACGGACAACACAAGAGCCAAAUGUAAUAGUCUUAGCGUUGGAAAUCUCUGCCUUGAGGAGAGCAGAAGCCUUCUGCACUUGUUUUCUCCCUCCACAAUUAUGGAUUAAUACAUAUCAAUUCUAGGCAGUUGAGAGGAUGAUUGGAACAGGACAACAUUCAUUGCACUAGUGAAGUUAAAAUGCUGUGAUGGUUUUUCUGCUGCCAAGCGGUAGAAAAGGCAAAUGGACCCCGAUUCCUAGCCUUUGCACACUCAGAACUUCAAGAAAGUGGAUAAGAAGGGAAGUAGAAAACACGUAAUUCAAGUUGGUAUAAGUUGUUUUUUAUAAAUUAUUUUUCAAAAAUAUCAACAAUAGCCCAAUGUUGUUUAUACUAUAUUAUUUUGUCCAUUUAGUCACAACCACUGUGACCACAGUAAGAAAAUUAGACGCCAUGACUUUACACAACAAAUCAUAUACAUAUUGCUGUAUGAAAUGGCUUUAAAGUGAAAAGACUUUUCCAUAUCUUACUAAAGGUUUCAAUAAAAAAUUUUAACUACAAAAUAUUGAAGGCUCCCCUACCUCCAGCUUUUUGUUUUUCCUGCUUACAAAGCAUAUCUAUCAUAGCAGUGGAAUUAGGGCAAUAUUUUCUAGUACUAAGGCUGUGUAUUUAUUUUUUCAAGUUAUCUGGGAACUUUUAAAACUAUCUUUAUUGCAAUUUUUUACCAUAGUGGCACUCUAAUAAAAUUACUAUAUGUAAAUUUUAAUUUCACAAACUCUUGAACAUAUUUUUACGUAGCUUUCUGAUGGGAGCGCCAAUCUUUAGAUUUUUAAAAUGUGAUUUGAUUUUUUUAGGUACUUAUUCAGUAUAAUGCGAUUUUUUUCCUUAAUUGCACAUAUUUUUUAACCACAAAAUCUGCUUAAAUGCUGUGCAAGGAUUGGCAAAAGCAAACUAUAACAACAUGAAAAUGAGUUACUAAGUGUCACUUUUACAGAUCUGCUCACUGAGGUAAUGGAUUUUGGCAAUUCACAGUAUUUUUUAAAACUUUUUUUCCCCUUUGAGAAUAGUAAUAUUAAGGCCAAAAAGAUCAGUAGUAUGCCAAAUUUAGGGAGAUUAUUUGGUAAAGAGAAAUUACAAACUUAUUAAUCAAGCUAUAUAAUUGAGGUAAAUGUAGAUAAGUCUGAUAUACAGAAUGGCAUUACAAUUAUAAAGUCUAUUUACCAUAAUGAUGGAAUUCUAGAUGUAGAUGAAAUGAGAUGAAUGUCUUUAAGCUUUCAAUGUAUUUUUAACUCAAUUUAGGAAUGUUUAUAGUUUAAGAAACCUUGUUUGUAUUCAUUUGCCUUCAAAAAAUUAAGGAUGCUUUAAAGAAUAUUUGAAGUUCUACUAUUUAGUUUCUAACAUUCUGAGAGAGUGGUCAAGAGACUGAAAAUGUUCAAACUUGGUGUGAAUGUAUACACACUUUAUAGUUAAACGACUCAUUGCUUUGCUACUGUCAAUGUUUUAAAGCACAGAUGCUGAAGACAUAGCAAUUUACUUAAUUAACCCCUGCUCCCUUUACAGGGGAAGAAAUAAGAUUACUCUGGCCAUCACAUGUUACUUGAAUUAUAUUUAAUCUUUUAUUACUCUGAAAACACACACACACACACAGAUAUGGACAGCAGACAUAUCCCCCUUGUGAGUGCAUUUCUUCCUAACAUAAACUGAAUGUUAAUAGCUCUGAUGGUAUUUCUCUCUAAUGGAAAAAAAAAAGUGCCAUAGUUAGAAAGGAAGCUUAUGCGUUACAGGUUUAUGGCCUGCAGUAAAAGUAGAUUAAGACUGUAUUUGUGAGGGUUCUCUACAUAGCCUUCCUAAUAUCAGCUGACUAAUUGGAGAAAAUGUAUGUGCUUUCAUUCUGACCAAUAAAAGGCAACUUGGUGAGUUAUAGAGAUUGACUGGGUGCUUGACAUGUGGUGCUAGUCCAUUAAAACAGUGGGCAACUGGUACUGGGGAGGUUGAGGAGAAAUUAACCUGUCUUGCUUGUUUUCAGAUAUACUUUUAGAUAUGUUGAUAUUCUAAUAUUCUUAAAAUAUAAAAAUGCAACAUCAGUUCACAUAUAAUAGGUUUCCUGCUAUUGCUUUUAUAGUGCCAAUGUA
Long non-coding RNA from Myotis brandtii (Brandt's bat), 3888 nucleotides. RefSeq lists it as uncharacterized. The transcript has 2 exons. The record is from RefSeq and is a predicted model, not a curated record. NCBI's taxonomy places the organism in Eukaryota, Metazoa, Chordata, Mammalia, Chiroptera, Vespertilionidae.